Molecule: unclassified non-coding RNA, 249 nt
Filed under: Lentinus sp.
Lineage: Eukaryota; Fungi; Basidiomycota; Agaricomycetes; Polyporales; Polyporaceae
Description: partial contains 5.8S ribosomal RNA, internal transcribed spacer 2, and large subunit ribosomal RNA
Source: RNAcentral
AACGCACAUUGCGCCCUCUGGUAUUCCGGGGGGCAUGCCUGUCCGAGCGUCAUUACACCACUCAAGCUCCGCUUGGUAUUGGGACCUCGCCCCCCAACCGGGGCGUGCCCGAAAGUUAGCGGCGACGUGCCCGGCACCCAAGCGCAUUAAACAUACGUUCGCUUGAGGCCCGCGGGGAGCGUCAGCCGGCCAACCACCCAAUCUUCAAUGAUUGACCUCGGAUCAGGUAGGGAUACCCGCUGAACUUAA